This 460-nucleotide ribosomal RNA is filed under the name uncultured bacterium. RNAcentral's name for it is "partial 16S ribosomal RNA". It matches the Rfam family "Bacterial small subunit ribosomal RNA", at positions 338 to 795 of the family's 1533-position model. The record is from RNAcentral.
CCUACGGGAGUCAGCAGUGAGGAAUAUUGGUCAAUGGCCGUAAGGCUGAACCAGCCAAGUAGCGUGAGGGAAGACUGCCCUAUGGGUUGUAAACCUCUUUUAUGCGGGGAUAAAGGUGUCCACGUGUGGAUGUUUGCAGGUACCGCAUGAAUAAGGACCGGCUAAUUCCGUGCCAGCAGCCGCGGUAAUACGGAAGGUCCGGGCGUUAUCCGGAUAUUUUGGGUUUAAAGGGAGCGUAGGCCGGUCUUUAAGCGUGCCGUGAAAUUUUGUGGCUCAACAAUGAGAGUGGGGCGCGAACUGGAGCCCUUGAGUGCGCGGAAGGCAGGCGGAAUUCGUUGUGUAGCGGUGAAAUGCUGAGAUAGCACGAAGAACCCCGAUUGCGAAGGCAGCCUGCCGCAGCGUUACUGACGCUGAAGCUCGAAAGCGCGGGUAUCGAACAGGAUUAGAUACCCGAGUAGUC